This 346-nucleotide ribosomal RNA is filed under the name uncultured bacterium. RNAcentral describes it as "bacterial SSU rRNA". It matches the Rfam family "Bacterial small subunit ribosomal RNA", at positions 8 to 349 of the family's 1533-position model. The record is from RNAcentral.
AGAGUUUGAUCAUGGCUCAGGAUGAACGCUAGCUACAGGCUUAACACAUGCAAGUCGAGGGGCAGCAUGUUGGUUGCUUGCAACCAAUGAUGGCGACCGGCGCACGGGUGAGUAACGCGUAUCCAACCUACCCUUGUCCAUCGGAUAACCCGUCGAAAGGCGGCCUAACACGAUAUGCGGUUCUCAGCAGGCAUCUAACGAGAACGAAAUGUGAAGGAGAAGGAUGGGGAUGCGUCUGAUUAGCUUGUUGGCGGGGUAACGCCACAGGCGACGAUCAGUAGGGGUUCUGAGAGGAACGGUCCCCCANAUUGGAACUGAGACACGGUCCAAACUCCGUACGGGAGCA